RNAcentral lists this ribosomal RNA (2927 nucleotides) under Shigella boydii. Its description in RNAcentral is "23S ribosomal RNA". It matches the Rfam family "Bacterial large subunit ribosomal RNA". Lineage: Bacteria; Pseudomonadati; Pseudomonadota; Gammaproteobacteria; Enterobacterales; Enterobacteriaceae. The record is from RNAcentral.
GGGUUGUGAGGUUAAGCGACUAAGCGUACACGGUGGAUGCCUUGGCAGUCAGAGGCGAUGAAGGACGUGCUAAUCUGCGAUAAGCGUCGGUAAGGUGAUAUGAACCGUUAUAACCGGCGAUUUCCGAAUGGGGAAACCCAGUGUGAUUCGUCACACUAUCAUUAACUGAAUCCAUAGGUUAAUGAGGCGAACCGGGGGAACUGAAACAUCUAAGUACCCCGAGGAAAAGAAAUCAACCGAGAUUCCCCCAGUAGCGGCGAGCGAACGGGGAGCAGCCCAGAGCCUGAAUCAGUGUGUGUGUGUUAGUGGAAGCGUCUGGAAAGGCGUGCGAUACAGGGUGACAGCCCCGUACACAAAAAUGCACAUACUGUGAGCUCGAUGAGUAGGGCGGGACACGUGGUAUCCUGUCUGAAUAUGGGGGGACCAUCCUCCAAGGCUAAAUACUCCUGACUGACCGAUAGUGAACCAGUACCGUGAGGGAAAGGCGAAAAGAACCCCGGCGAGGGGAGUGAAAAAGAACCUGAAACCGUGUACGUACAAGCAGUGGGAGCACGCUUAGGCGUGUGACUGCGUACCUUUUGUAUAAUGGGUCAGCGACUUAUAUUCUGUAGCAAGGUUAACCGAAUAGGGGAGCCGAAGGGAAACCGAGUCUUAACUGGGCGUUAAGUUGCAGGGUAUAGACCCGAAACCCGGUGAUCUAGCCAUGGGCAGGUUGAAGGUUGGGUAACACUAACUGGAGGACCGAACCGACUAAUGUUGAAAAAUUAGCGGAUGACUUGUGGCUGGGGGUGAAAGGCCAAUCAAACCGGGAGAUAGCUGGUUCUCCCCGAAAGCUAUUUAGGUAGCGCCUCGUGAAUUCAUCUCCGGGGGUAGAGCACUGUUUCGGCAAGGGGGUCAUCCCGACUUACCAACCCGAUGCAAACUGCGAAUACCGGAGAAUGUUAUCACGGGAGACACACGGCGGGUGCUAACGUCCGUCGUGAAGAGGGAAACAACCCAGACCGCCAGCUAAGGUCCCAAAGUCAUGGUUAAGUGGGAAACGAUGUGGGAAGGCCCAGACAGCCAGGAUGUUGGCUUAGAAGCAGCCAUCAUUUAAAGAAAGCGUAAUAGCUCACUGGUCGAGUCGGCCUGCGCGGAAGAUGUAACGGGGCUAAACCAUGCACCGAAGCUGCGGCAGCGACGCUUAUGCGUUGUUGGGUAGGGGAGCGUUCUGUAAGCCUGUGAAGGUGUGCUGUGAGGUAUGCUGGAGGUAUCAGAAGUGCGAAUGCUGACAUAAGUAACGAUAAAGCGGGUGAAAAGCCCGCUCGCCGGAAGACCAAGGGUUCCUGUCCAACGUUAAUCGGGGCAGGGUGAGUCGACCCCUAAGGCGAGGCCGAAAGGCGUAGUCGAUGGGAAACAGGUUAAUAUUCCUGUACUUGGUGUUACUGCGAAGGGGGGACGGAGAAGGCUAUGUUGGCCGGGCGACGGUUGUCCCGGUUUAAGCGUGUAGGCUGGUUUUCCAGGCAAAUCCGGAAAAUCAAGGCCGAGGCGUGAUGACGAGGCACUACGGUGCUGAAGCAACAAAUGCCCUGCUUCCAGGAAAAGCCUCUAAGCAUCAGGUAACAUCAAAUCGUACCCCAAACCGACACAGGUGGUCAGGUAGAGAAUACCAAGGCGCUUGAGAGAACUCGGGUGAAGGAACUAGGCAAAAUGGUGCCGUAACUUCGGGAGAAGGCACGCUGAUACGUAGGUGAAGCGACUUGCUCGUGGAGCUGAAAUCAGUCGAAGAUACCAGCUGGCUGCAACUGUUUAUUAAAAACACAGCACUGUGCAAACACGAAAGUGGACGUAUACGGUGUGACGCCUGCCCGGUGCCGGAAGGUUAAUUGAUGGGGUUAGCGCAAGCGAAGCUCUUGAUCGAAGCCCCGGUAAACGGCGGCCGUAACUAUAACGGUCCUAAGGUAGCGAAAUUCCUUGUCGGGUAAGUUCCGACCUGCACGAAUGGCGUAAUGAUGGCCAGGCUGUCUCCACCCGAGACUCAGUGAAAUUGAACUCGCUGUGAAGAUGCAGUGUACCCGCGGCAAGACGGAAAGACCCCGUGAACCUUUACUAUAGCUUGACACUGAACAUUGAGCCUUGAUGUGUAGGAUAGGUGGGAGGCUUUGAAGUGUGGACGCCAGUCUGCAUGGAGCCGACCUUGAAAUACCACCCUUUAAUGUUUGAUGUUCUAACGUGGACCCGUGAUCCGGGUUGCGGACAGUGUCUGGUGGGUAGUUUGACUGGGGCGGUCUCCUCCUAAAGAGUAACGGAGGAGCACGAAGGUUGGCUAAUCCUGGUCGGACAUCAGGAGGUUAGUGCAAUGGCAUAAGCCAGCUUGACUGCGAGCGUGACGGCGCGAGCAGGUGCGAAAGCAGGUCAUAGUGAUCCGGUGGUUCUGAAUGGAAGGGCCAUCGCUCAACGGAUAAAAGGUACUCCGGGGAUAACAGGCUGAUACCGCCCAAGAGUUCAUAUCGACGGCGGUGUUUGGCACCUCGAUGUCGGCUCAUCACAUCCUGGGGCUGAAGUAGGUCCCAAGGGUAUGGCUGUUCGCCAUUUAAAGUGGUACGCGAGCUGGGUUUAGAACGUCGUGAGACAGUUCGGUCCCUAUCUGCCGUGGGCGCUGGAGAACUGAGGGGGGCUGCUCCUAGUACGAGAGGACCGGAGUGGACGCAUCACUGGUGUUCGGGUUGUCAUGCCAAUGGCACUGCCCGGUAGCUAAAUGCGGAAGAGAUAAGUGCUGAAAGCAUCUAAGCACGAAACUUGCCCCGAGAUGAGUUCUCCCUGACCCUUUAAGGGUCCUGAAGGAACGUUGAAGACGACGACGUUGAUAGGCCGGGUGUGUAAGCGCAGCGAUGCGUUGAGCUAACCGGUACUAAUGAACCGUGAGGCUUAACCUUACAACGCCGAAG